Molecule: ribosomal RNA, 415 nt
Filed under: Meloidogyne hapla
Lineage: Eukaryota; Metazoa; Nematoda; Chromadorea; Rhabditida; Meloidogynidae
Description: partial 16S ribosomal RNA
Source: RNAcentral
UUUUAUUCCGAUAUUAUUUUUUACCGUUGAAAAAAUUAAUAAUAAUUUAUCGUUAAUAAAAAUUAAAAUUUAUAAUAUUUUUAUUUUUAUUUUUUAGUUUUAAAUAAAAAAAAUAAAAUUUAUAUAUAUAAAAAUUUUGUUAUAAAUUAUAAUAGUUUAUUUAUUUGUUUUUUAUAAUAAAUAAUAGUAUUUUUUUUUAUUAUUUUAUAAAAAAAAAUAAUUUAAUUAUAAUUAUUAAAAGUAAUUUUGUUAUUUAGAAUAAUAUAUUAAUAUAAAUAACAAAAAUAUUAAAUAUUUUUUAAAUUUUUUGGGGAUUUAAGUUAUAAUUUUUUGUGUCUGCCCAGUGAAUUUAAAUAGCACUUUUAGCGUGAUUGGCCCAAAGCCAAACACCACAUUUCUUCCCUUUCCCCCACCC